This 107-nucleotide small nucleolar RNA is filed under the name Prunus persica (peach). RNAcentral describes it as "Plant small nucleolar RNA R71". It matches the Rfam family "Plant small nucleolar RNA R71". Rfam says of the family: R71 is a member of the C/D box family of snoRNAs containing the C (UGAUGA) and D (CUGA) box motifs. Multiple nearly identical copies of this snoRNA have been identified in Arabidopsis, and it is thought to function as a 2'-O-ribose methylation guide for 18S ribosomal RNA. Lineage: Eukaryota; Viridiplantae; Streptophyta; Magnoliopsida; Rosales; Rosaceae. The record is from Rfam by way of RNAcentral.
AAACCAUGGUGAGGGCACUGUAUUAAAAAAUUAUUGAACCUUUCCCAAGCUUCUGAAAAUGACUCAUCGGUCUGUUGACUGAAUUGCAUGAUUUUAUCCCUCAGUGC